GCCCAGGUGGCGGAAUUGGUAGACGCGCACGUUUGAGGGGCGUGUGGAGCAAUCCGUGCUGGUUCGAGUCCAGUCCUGGGCACCA
This 85-nucleotide transfer RNA is filed under the name Pseudomonadota bacterium. Its description in RNAcentral is "tRNA-Leu". It matches the Rfam family "tRNA". Rfam says of the family: Transfer RNA (tRNA) molecules are approximately 80 nucleotides in length. Their secondary structure includes four short double-helical elements and three loops (D, anti-codon, and T loops). Lineage: Bacteria; Pseudomonadati; Pseudomonadota. RNAcentral also lists the same sequence under 3 other names. The record is from RNAcentral.